AUCGCCCUCCCUCUUUCAGGUGCUCGGAUCAAUGUGUUGGUCCGGCUUAAACAGGAAGUCGGUGCCGCGCUUUAUUAACAUAAUGCCGCCAUGCCGACGCUGCCCCCGCAACGGUAGAUAAGUAAAAGAACUGCGUUAACACCACUGUGCAUUGCAUGGGAAGGUCGCAGUUCAGGCCGCAAAGCCACUUAUAAGCCCGGAGACUGGCCGGAAAGAUCAUUCGAGA
This 226-nucleotide non-coding RNA is filed under the name Methylomonas methanica. The record is from RNAcentral. RNAcentral also lists the same sequence under 1 other name. Lineage: Bacteria; Pseudomonadati; Pseudomonadota; Gammaproteobacteria; Methylococcales; Methylococcaceae.